Molecule: long non-coding RNA, 1083 nt
Filed under: Canis lupus dingo (dingo)
Lineage: Eukaryota; Metazoa; Chordata; Mammalia; Carnivora; Canidae
Description: lncRNA (ENSCAFG00020020520.1)
Source: RNAcentral
AUGGCACUUGUCAUUCACAGGCCGGGCCCCUGGGGAUGCGGCUCGGGGACAGCAGGCUGGGAGCCCCCGAGCGGCCUGUGCCCGGGGGGCGGGGGUGCAGCCCGGGGCCGAAGGCCUGGCUGGAAGGGGAGCCCGAAGGCCCUUCCCGGGCAGAGCUGGCUCUUCCAACAGGUCUCAGCUGGAACUUGCCAGCAGCUGCAGGGAGGCCCCGCCGAGGGGGCUAAGGGGGCCGGGGGCGCCCCGGGAGCCUCUCCGCAGCCUCCCCGCCGGCCCUGGGUGCUGAUGCGUCCUGCAGCCAGGGCGACCCCGAGGCCACCCCCGAGGUCACCCCCAGGCCACCCCCGAGGUCACCCCGAAGCCACCCCUGAGGUCACCCCUGAGGUCACCCCCGAGGCCACCCCCGAGGUCACCCCGAAGCCACCCCCGAGGUCACCCCGAGGCCACCCGGGUCACCCCCUGAGGUCACGCCGAGGUCACCCCGAGGUCACCCCAGGCCCAAACAGGGGCUCUCGUGUGUUCUGCUCGGGGCACGCGGACCCCUCACCCCUCGCCUUUUCCGGUUUUCAAGUGCCCCUUUCUCCUCGGUGCUCAGCCUCUGCCCCGGCCCUCGCCCGUCCCAGAACCCCUCCUGGUGGGUCCCCGCGCCCAGGCCGCGCUGCGCUCUGUCCCCCUCUGCCUCUCCUGCCACCCGCCUGCCUGGCCCCCGGCGCCCCUGUGAAUGGGGCUGCGAGCACCUGGGGACCCAGGGGACCCGGUGGCAGCCUUUGGCGCUGCGCGCAGCCUUGCCCCGCGGUGGCCCCAACACUCGGCUCCCGGUGGCCUUGCUCCAGAGCUGUCGGGGAGUCUUGCAUUAUCCAGAGGCCCUGCUGGAAGUUUUACUGCCUUUUUUUUUUUUUUUUUGCAUCUAUGUGCAAACUGCGUUCCAGAAUGAUCCUUGACCUGACCCAUGUGGUGUUCUGGGGGAGACUUUUACUCACUGGAGCCCUUCACCAGGUCCAUGUGGUGUUCUGGGGGAGACUUUUACUCACUGGAGCCCUUCACCAGGUAGGGGCCCCAGGACCGGAGGAGAUGGUGGAGCCCUGA